RNAcentral lists this transfer RNA (62 nucleotides) under Artemia parthenogenetic lineage. RNAcentral describes it as "tRNA-Ile". Lineage: Eukaryota; Metazoa; Arthropoda; Branchiopoda; Anostraca; Artemiidae. The record is from RNAcentral. RNAcentral also lists the same sequence under 3 other names.
GAUGAGGUGCCUGAUAAAAGGAUUACGUUGAUACUGUAAUUAUGUAGAUAAUACCCUCAUCU